GGAUUAGGCAUGCAAGUCGCACGAGAAAGGUUUCUUCGGAAGCCGAGUACAGUGGCGAACGGGUGAGUAAUGCAUAGACAACUCGCCCUUGAGAUGGGGACAACGCCUCGAAAGGGGUGCUAAUACCCAAUGCCGCCUUGGGCCCGCGGGUCCAGGGUGAAAGGAGGCCUCUGAUUCAAGCUUCCGCUCAAGGAGAGGUUUAUGUCCUAUUAGCUAGUUGGCGGGGUAACGGCCCACCAAGGCUGCGAUGGGUAGCCGACCUGAGAGGGUGACCGGCCACAUUGGGACUGAGACACUGCCCAGACUCCUACGGGAGGCUGCAGUCGAGAAUCUUCCGCAAUGCGCGCAAGCGUGACGGAGCGACGCCGCGUGGGUGAUGAAGGCCUUCGGGUUGUAAAACCCUGUCAGCUACUACGAAACACGGGCGAUGAACAAUCGUCCCGUCUGACUUAAGUAGCAGAGGAAGCACCGGCUAACUACGUGCCAGCAGCCGCGGUAAUACGUAGGGUGCAAACGUUGUUCGGAAUCACUGGGCAUAAAGGGCGCGUAGGCGGUCUGAUAAGUCAGGUGUGAAAUCCCUCGGCCUAACCGAGGAACUGCAUUUGAUACUGUCGGGCUAGAGUACAGGAGGGGAGAGUGGAAUUCCUGGUGGAGCGGUGAAAUGCGUAGAUAUCAGGAGGAACGCCGGCGGCGAAAGCGACUCUCUGGCCUGUUACUGACGCUGAGGCGCGAAAGCUAUGGGAGCAAACGGGAUUAGAUACCCCGGUAGUCCUAGCCCUAAACGAUGGGCACUAAGUAGAGGGGUUUU
Molecule: ribosomal RNA, 808 nt
Filed under: uncultured Planctomycetota bacterium
Lineage: Bacteria; Pseudomonadati; Planctomycetota
Description: bacterial SSU rRNA
Rfam family: Bacterial small subunit ribosomal RNA
Source: RNAcentral